UAAACUAUGUGUAACUGGCGGAGCAUGGGGAACCAUGAGGGAGCACAUAGAUAACAGCCGUACGCCUGGGCAGAGGUA
Molecule: non-coding RNA, 78 nt
Filed under: Paenibacillus pectinilyticus
Lineage: Bacteria; Bacillati; Bacillota; Bacilli; Caryophanales; Paenibacillaceae
Description: ZTP sequence
Rfam family: ZMP/ZTP riboswitch aptamer (pfl RNA motif)
About the family: Previously known as pfl RNA. ZMP is also known as AICAR.
Source: Rfam by way of RNAcentral